GGAACUACGCCCUCCGGGAUCGCCUUUUGGGAGGAGAUUCCAAACCACCUUAUCGAUAAUGGCACGGGGCAUUAGCUAAAGAGCGUUGUUCAAAGAGCGUUGUCCAAAGCGGUACGGAAAAGUUAGAGCAAUGACUCUUUCAGGU
Acidithrix ferrooxidans is the source of this 145-nucleotide non-coding RNA. The record is from Rfam. NCBI's taxonomy places the organism in Bacteria, Bacillati, Actinomycetota, Acidimicrobiia, Acidimicrobiales, Acidimicrobiaceae.